UAAUUCACUUCAAUCAUCACUGACUGUCAAUGGGUUCGUGCUCUUGAGAGUGGGUGCGAGCCAUUGGUGACUACUGGAGCUGCUCCUCCCGCUCCAACCCCUUGAACCCCAACCGCCCACCGAAAAUCCAACCUCCCUUCCCCACUUGCACCGCGUGUUGUGCAACUCUGCCCGAAGCCGUCAUCUGUAAUUCACCUUGGCAGGCAUGUGAGUGCGAUGCACACGCAGCAUCCCCACAAAGCCCUGCCGCACUUCGCCCGCUGGCCACGCCCCCCGUCACCCACAAAAGAACAGCUGUCAAUGGUUGUUUACAGAGCAACAGAGACAGCUGUCACGCAGGAAAC
This is a non-coding RNA of Drosophila melanogaster (fruit fly), 344 nucleotides long. Lineage: Eukaryota; Metazoa; Arthropoda; Insecta; Diptera; Drosophilidae. The record is from Ensembl.